Molecule: small RNA, 510 nt
Filed under: Solicorynespora insolita
Lineage: Eukaryota; Fungi; Ascomycota; Dothideomycetes
Description: eukaryotic LSU rRNA
Rfam family: 5.8S ribosomal RNA (bases 156-309)
Source: RNAcentral
GAUCAUUACCGAGCGAGGGCUCCGGCCCGACCUCUCAACCCCUGCCUUCCCACGCGCGUUGCUUCGGCGGCUGCGGGCCCCCGCGGUCCUGCCCGCCAGGAGGCCAUCUCUAAACGCUACAAUCAUGGGGCUCUGAGUCACGACCUAACACUAAAAACUUUCAACAACGGAUCUCUUGGCUCUGGUGUCGAUGAAGAACGCAGCGAAAUGCGAUAAGUAGUACGAAUUGCAGAAUUCAGCGAAUGAUCGAAUCUUUGAACGCACAUUGCGCCCCCUGGCAUCCCGGGGGGCACGCCUGUCCGAGCGUCAUUACGCCCCUCAAGCCUGGCUUGGUAUCUGGGCCGCGCCCCUCGCGGGGCGGGCCUCAAACCCCUGGGCGGUGCCGCCCCCGCCCGGCGUGAUCAGGAGCAUCCCUCCACGCGCCGGCGCGGGCGAUGCCCGCCGCGAAUGACCCUCCAGUUUGACCUCGGAUCAGGCGGGGAUACCCGCUGAACUUAAGCAUAUCAAUAA